GAUUGCCGUCGUUGUGCAGGUUAGCCCCUUCGAGAUAGAACGUUUCAGACUUUAGUGUGGAAUGAAACGAUUCGAUGGGGGCAUUAUCAGCAG
Molecule: unclassified non-coding RNA, 93 nt
Filed under: Paenibacillus sp. 453mf
Lineage: Bacteria; Bacillati; Bacillota; Bacilli; Caryophanales; Paenibacillaceae
Source: RNAcentral